Molecule: ribosomal RNA, 253 nt
Filed under: uncultured bacterium
Lineage: Bacteria
Description: partial 16S ribosomal RNA
Rfam family: Bacterial small subunit ribosomal RNA
Source: RNAcentral
UACGUAGGGGGCAAGCGUUGUCCGGAAUCAUUGGGCGUAAAGCGCGUGUAGGCGGCCCGGUAAGUCCGCUGUGAAAGUUGGGGGCUCAACCCUCGAAUGCCGGUGGAUACUGUCGGGCUAGAGUGCGGAAGAGGCGAGUGGAAUUCCUGGUGUAGCGGUGAAAUGCGCAGAUAUCAGGAGGAACACCAAUUGCGAAGGCAGCUCGCUGGGACGUGACUGACGCUGAGACGCGAAAGCGUGGGGAGCAAACAGG